RNAcentral lists this long non-coding RNA (1150 nucleotides) under Physcomitrium patens. RNAcentral's name for it is "long non-coding RNA (PPAT_LNC010523)". Lineage: Eukaryota; Viridiplantae; Streptophyta; Bryopsida; Funariales; Funariaceae. The record is from RNAcentral.
UGGAGAGCUCUGACACGAUUGAUAACGUGAAGACGAAGAUUCAGGACAAGGAGGGGAUUCCUCCGGACCAGCAGAGGUUGAUCUUCGCAGGGAAGCAAUUGGAGGACGGCCGCACUUUGGCUGAUUACAACAUCCAGAAGGAGUCGACCUUGCACUUGGUUCUUAGGUUGAGGGGAGGCAUGCAAAUUUUUGUGAAGACGUUGACAGGGAAGACCAUCACCCUGGAGGUGGAGAGCUCUGACACGAUUGAUAACGUGAAGACGAAGAUUCAGGACAAGGAGGGGAUUCCUCCGGACCAGCAGAGGUUGAUCUUCGCAGGGAAGCAAUUGGAGGACGGCCGCACUUUGGCUGAUUACAACAUCCAGAAGGAGUCGACCUUGCACUUGGUUCUUAGGUUGAGGGGAGGCAUGCAAAUUUUUGUGAAGACGUUGACAGGGAAGACCAUCACCCUGGAGGUGGAGAGCUCUGACACGAUUGAUAACGUGAAGACGAAGAUUCAGGACAAGGAGGGGAUUCCUCCGGACCAGCAGAGGUUGAUCUUCGCAGGGAAGCAAUUGGAGGACGGCCGCACUUUGGCUGAUUACAACAUCCAGAAGGAGUCGACCUUGCACUUGGUUCUUAGGUUGAGGGGAGGCAUGCAAAUUUUUGUGAAGACGUUGACAGGGAAGACCAUCACCCUGGAGGUGGAGAGCUCUGACACGAUUGAUAACGUGAAGACGAAGAUUCAGGACAAGGAGGGGAUUCCUCCGGACCAGCAGAGGUUGAUCUUCGCAGGGAAACAAUUGGAGGAUGGUCGCACCCUGGCCGAUUACAACAUCCAGAAGGAGUCGACCUUGCACUUGGUGCUCCGCCUCCGAGGUGGUCAGUAGGUCGUCCUACUAUGUUGUUAAACGUCCCUUACAGUGUGUGUAAUAAUGAAUAAAAGGAUUUUUUUCCGAUUUGGUCACUAUUUCGGCUUCGUGAUGGUUUGAAAGUUUCGUCUUGGUGUUGGCAAGCGUUACAUGUUCCUGGCAUUUGAGGGAGAACUGCAUCUUUUUCUCUCGUUUGAGAAUGUAUUAAAGGUUGUGUAUGACUUUGCAUUUAGAAGUAAUCUGAGGCAUUUGUUGGAUGUGUUGGCAACAUUUUGAACUCGGCCACAUUAUUCACUAGG